This 442-nucleotide ribosomal RNA is filed under the name uncultured bacterium. RNAcentral describes it as "partial 16S ribosomal RNA". It matches the Rfam family "Bacterial small subunit ribosomal RNA", at positions 338 to 795 of the family's 1533-position model. The record is from RNAcentral.
CCUACGGGAGGCAGCAGUGGGGAAUAUUGGGCAAUGGGCGAAAGCCUGACCCAGCAACGCCGCGUGAAGGAAGAAGGCUUUCGGGUUGUAAACUUCUUUUGACAGGGAAGAGCAGAAGACGGUACCUGUCGAAUAAGCCACGGCUAACUACGUGCCAGCAGCCGCGGUAAUACGGAGGUGGCAAGCGUUGUACGGAUUUACUGGGUGUAAAGGGCGUGUAGCCGGGCUGGAAAGUCAGAUGUGAAAUCCGGGGGCUCAACCCCCGAACUGCAUUUGAAACUGUUGGUCUUGAGUAUCGGAGAGGCAGGCGGAAUUCCCGGUGUAGCGGUGAAAUGCGUAGAUAUUAGGAGGAACACCAGUGGCGAAGGCAGCCUGCUGGACGACAACUGACGGUGAGGCGCGAAAGCGUGGGGAGCAAACAGGAUUAGAUACCCCAGUAGUC